GAUCCUAAUACCUACAUUUGUAUCAUAUUUAUGUUAUAUAUAUAACAUGAUUUAGAAUGUAAUAUAAAAUAUAAAUAAUUGUGAAAAAAAAACGGGACUAUGAGUUAUGCUUAUGACGUUAUAAAAAUGUGUUAAGUAUUCGAGAUAACAUGCACAACAAGUAAAUAUAUAUAUUAUAUACUUAUAGUAGAUACCUACCUAUCAGUAAAGUGUACCUACUCUCGACCAAUACUUAUAUGUAUAUCGGUACCACACUUGUGACAUAAUCGCGUGUGCGAAUAAAAAUAAUUUUAAAGAUGGUUCGAUGAACCGGUCGAUUGAGAAGACUCGCUGAGUCAACGACUUCUGAAAAACAAAAGAGACCAAACGAUUUAAGCAUAUAGCUUUUAAAUCCAUUCAAGAACAAAAUAACAACAAUUUCCCGUAACUAUUUACUGUCACAAAUCCGUAUUUACCUUUCGAAUUAUCUUUUUCCAUUUGAAAUACAAGAACAUAGGUAAGAAUAAAUGAAUAAAUAAACACAAAUGUAAAAAAAGACUAUCAUAAAA
This is a long non-coding RNA of Aphis gossypii (cotton aphid), 548 nucleotides long. RefSeq lists it as uncharacterized. The record is from RefSeq and is a predicted model, not a curated record. NCBI's taxonomy places the organism in Eukaryota, Metazoa, Arthropoda, Insecta, Hemiptera, Aphididae. The transcript is spliced from 2 exons.